CAAUAGCGUAUAUUUAAGUUGUUGCAGUUAAAAAGCUCGUAGUUGGAUUUCGGAUGGGACCUGCCGGUCCGUCGUUUCGAUGUGCACUGGCCAGUCCUAUCUUGUUGUCGGGGACUAGCUCCUGGGCUUCACUGUCCGGGACUAGGAGCUGACGAGGUUACUUUGAGUAAAUUAGAGUGUUCAAAGCAAGCCUACGCUCUGAAUACAUUAGCAUGGAAUAACACGAUAGGACUCUGGCUUAUCUUGUUGGUCUGUGAGACCAGAGUAAUGAUUAAGAGGGACAGUCGGGGGCAUUCGUAUUUCAUUGUCAGAGGUGAAAUUCUUGGAUUUAUGAAAGACGAACUUCUGCGAAAGCAUUUGUCAAGGAUGUUUNCAUUA
Molecule: ribosomal RNA, 378 nt
Filed under: uncultured eukaryote
Lineage: Eukaryota
Description: partial 18S ribosomal RNA
Rfam family: Eukaryotic small subunit ribosomal RNA
Source: RNAcentral